UUCUGGCUCAGGACGAACGCUGGCGGCGUGCCUAAUACAUGCAAGUCGAACGGUCUUUCUAUGGAAGCUUGCUUCCACUGAGAAGAUAGUGGCGAACGGGUGAGUAACACGUGGGUAACCUGCCCAUAAGAGGGGGAUAACAUCCGGAAACGGGUGCUAAUACCGCAUAGUUUUCUUGAUCGCAUGAUUGAGAAGGAAAGACGGCCUUUGUGCUGUCGCUUAUGGAUGGACCCGCGGCGUAUUAGUUAGUUGGUGAGGUAACGGCUCACCAAGACGAUGAUACGUAGCCGACCUGAGAGGGUGAUCGGCCACAUUGGGACUGAGACACGGCCCAAACUCCUACGGGAGGCAGCAGUAGGGAAUAUUGCACAAUGGGGGAAACCCUGAUGCCAGCAACGCCGCGUGAGUGAUGACGGCCUUCGGGUUGUAAAGCUCUGUCUUCAGGGACGAUAAUGACGGUACCUGAGGAGGAAGCCACGGCUAACUACGUGCCAGCCGCCGC
RNAcentral lists this ribosomal RNA (502 nucleotides) under uncultured bacterium. RNAcentral's name for it is "bacterial SSU rRNA". It matches the Rfam family "Bacterial small subunit ribosomal RNA", at positions 17 to 518 of the family's 1533-position model. The record is from RNAcentral.